GUGGCAUUAGCUCAGUUGGUAGAGCCCCGGAUUGUGAUUCCGGUUGUCGUGGGUUCAAGUCCCAUAUGCCACCCCA
This 76-nucleotide transfer RNA is filed under the name Cognaticolwellia aestuarii. Its description in RNAcentral is "tRNA-His". It matches the Rfam family "tRNA". From Rfam's summary of the family: Transfer RNA (tRNA) molecules are approximately 80 nucleotides in length. Their secondary structure includes four short double-helical elements and three loops (D, anti-codon, and T loops). Further hydrogen bonds mediate the characteristic L-shaped molecular structure. tRNAs have two regions of fundamental functional importance: the anti-codon, which is responsible for specific mRNA codon recognition, and the 3' end, to which the tRNAs corresponding amino acid is attached (by aminoacyl-tRNA synthetases). tRNAs cope with the degeneracy of the genetic code in two manners: having more than one tRNA (with a specific anti-codon) for a particular amino acid; and 'wobble' base-pairing, i.e. permitting non-standard base-pairing at the 3rd anti-codon position. Lineage: Bacteria; Pseudomonadati; Pseudomonadota; Gammaproteobacteria; Alteromonadales; Colwelliaceae. The record is from RNAcentral. RNAcentral also lists the same sequence under 2 other names.